CGGUAAUUCCAGCUCCAAUAGCGUAUACUAAAGUUGUUGCAGUUAAAAAGCUCGUAGUUGGAUUUCUGCGGGGACGGAGCGGCCGGUCGCAACUUGCGACUCGAGCUAGCGCUUUCCCCGCAUCCUGCCGCGAACCGUGCUACCAUUAGCUUGGUGGCGCUGAAGAUCGACUCAAUUACUUUGAGAAAAAUAGAGUGUUCAAAGCAGGCCACACGCCUUGAAUAAGUUAGCAUGGAAUAAUGACUAAGGACUUCAGUUCUACUUUGUUGGUGUUCGGGACUGAAGUAAUGAUUGAUAGGGACAGUUGGGGCGGUCUGUAUUCCAAAGCGAGAGGUGAAAUUCUUAGACCUUCGGAAGACAAACAGCUGCGAAAGCGUUCCGCAAGGAUGUUCCCUUUGAUCAAGAACGAAAGUUGGGGGAUCGAAGACGAUCAGAUACCGUCGUAGUCUCAACUAUAAACUAUACCAGCUAGGGAUCGGUCAACGUUUAAUCAUUCGACUUGAUCGGCACCUUAUGAGAAAUCAAAGCAUCUGGGUUCCGGGGGGAGUAUGGUCGCAAGGCUGAAACUUAAAGGAAUUGACGGAAGGGCACCACCAGCCGUGGAGCCUGUGGCUUAAUUUGACUCAACACGGGAAAACUUACCAGGUCCAGACAUAGUAAGGAUUGACAGAUUGAUAGCUCUUUCUUGAUUCUGUGGGUGGUGGUGCAUGGCCGUUCUUAGUUGGUGGAGUGAUUUGUCUGGUUAAUUCCGUUAACGAACGAGACCCCAGCCUGCUAAAUAGCGCGGCUGAGCUUUGCUCGGUGCGAGCUUCUUAGAGGGACUAUGAUGCGCGAUAGCACAUGGAAGUUUGGGGCAAUAACAGGUCUGUGAUGCCCUUAGAUGUUCUGGGCCGCACACGGGCUACACUGGCGCCUGCAACGAGCAUAUCAGCUGGCCCGAGAGGGUCUUGGCUAAUCUUUUGAACCGGCGCCGUGCUUGGGAUUGACCAUUGCAAUUGUUGGUCAUGCAACGAGGAAUGCCUUGUAAACGCGAGUCAUCAGCUCGCAUUGAAUACGUCCCUGCCCUUUGUACACACCGCCCGUCGCUCCUACCGAUGAAUGUUCCGAUGAAAUUUUCGGAGAGCGCCAGAGAACGGGGCUCCGCCUUGCAGAUCUGGAGGCUCAAAGUCACUUAAAUCUGAACAUUUCGAGGAAGGAGAAGUCGUAACAAGGUAGCCG
This 1218-nucleotide ribosomal RNA is filed under the name uncultured Rhizaria. RNAcentral's name for it is "SSU rRNA". It matches the Rfam family "Eukaryotic small subunit ribosomal RNA", at positions 577 to 1805 of the family's 1831-position model. The record is from RNAcentral.